UAGAGUCCGAGUUGUAAUUUGCAGAGGGCGCUUUGGCUUUGGCAGCGGUCCAAGUUCCUUGGAACAGGACGUCACAGAGGGUGAGAAUCCCGUACGUGGUCGCUGGCUAUUGCCGUGUAAAGCCCCUUCGACGAGUCGAGUUGUUUGGGAAUGCAGCUCUAAAUGGGAGGUACAUUUCUUCUAAAGCUAAAUAUUGGCCAGAGACCGAUAGCGCACAAGUAGAGUGAUCGAAAGAUGAAAAGCACUUUGGAAAGAGAGUCAAACAGCACGUGAAAUUGUUGAAAGGGAAGCGCUUGCAGCCAGACUUGCUUACAGUUGCUCAUCCGGGUUUCUACCCGGUGCACUCUUCUGUAGGCAGGCCAGCAUCAGUUUGGGCGGUAGGAUAAAGGUCUCUGUCACGUACCUCCUUUCGGGGAGGCCUUAUAGGGGAGACGACAUACUACCAGCCUGGACUGAGGUCCGCGCAUCUGCUAGGAUGCUGGCGUAAUGGCUGUAAGCGGCCCGUCUUGAAACACGGACCAAGGAGUCUAACAUCUAUGCGAGUGUUUGGGUGUCAAGCCCGAGCGCGUAAUGAAAGUGAACGGAGGUGGGAACCCGCAAGGGUGCACCAUCGACCGAUCCUGAUGUCUUCGGAAGGAUUUGAGUAAGAGCAUGGCUGUUGGGACCCGAAAGAUGGUGAACUAUGCUUGAAUAGGGUGAAGCCAGAGGAAACUCUGGUGGAGGCUCGCAGCGGUUCUGACGUGCAAAUCGAUCGUCAAAUUUGGGCAUA
This 769-nucleotide ribosomal RNA is filed under the name Alternaria sp. RNAcentral describes it as "partial large subunit ribosomal RNA". It matches the Rfam family "Eukaryotic large subunit ribosomal RNA", at positions 132 to 919 of the family's 3401-position model. Lineage: Eukaryota; Fungi; Ascomycota; Dothideomycetes; Pleosporales; Pleosporaceae. The record is from RNAcentral.